RNAcentral lists this non-coding RNA (140 nucleotides) under uncultured Bacteroides sp. RNAcentral describes it as "Bacteroidete tryptophan peptide leader RNA". It matches the Rfam family "Bacteroidete tryptophan peptide leader RNA". Lineage: Bacteria; Pseudomonadati; Bacteroidota; Bacteroidia; Bacteroidales; Bacteroidaceae. The record is from RNAcentral.
AAAACAAAAAUAGAAAUGAGAACUAUAUUAGUAAAUACAUAUUGGUGGUGGCGCCGUUACAACUCCUACAGUCGUAAGGGAGCAGCGCUCGUGUAUACAUACUAGAUAGAUGAUUACAUAAAAUAAGAAAGAGCCCUGUC